GCGGUCUAGUUUGAAACAACCAACUUGUUGGUUGAUUUUCAAACUAGACAUUUGGUUGUUUCAAAACCAAAGUUUGUUGUGUUAAAUCCAAAAUUUUGUUUGAACAGAACAUUUUUCCUAUGUAGUUUCAACCUAAUUUUUUGAUUCAAUGAAACCAAAAUUAUGAUUGUUUGAACCCGAAACAUAUAUUGUAUCAACCAUGACAUUUGUUUGUUUUAAACAACAUUCAAGUUGUUUUUGUCCGCCACGGACUAUAGAUUUCGAACCAAAAUAUUAGCUAAAUUCAACUGUAACUUAAGGUUGGAACAAACUAUGAAUUUGUUUGUGAUACAAGUCAAAUCAAAAGAUCAAAUAUGGAAAAUAAAUCAUAAUAAAUCAACUGAUAGAGUCGAUCCGAAAUUUGCAUAUUUUGGAUCAAUUUUAUUUGUAUAAUCAUCAGUAUAUAGAUCCACUUAUGAGCACAAAGGGAAAAAUGAUAGAUAUAUGACCCGGAUAUGCCUCCACUCUCCGAUUAAAAUUUGCAUCAACCUAAUUUCGACCAAAAGAUAUAGAUAUUUUCCAAAACUCAUGGCUGUUUAUCGGAGGUUGAACCUAGACGAGUCCUACUUGAGCUGCAGCAGUCGCAGUGCCAUAAUGAUCUCCAGCUCGAGCGGCUAUCUCAACAUGGAAUAUGAUUAUGUUGACGCUAUUUCGUUAUUUUUUAUAUAAAUCAUUGAAUUAUCAAUAAAAAGAACUAAAAUGCACGAAAUAUAAUUCAUUUAUACAAUAAAAGAAAAAAAACAGC
Armigeres subalbatus is the source of this 784-nucleotide long non-coding RNA. RefSeq lists it as uncharacterized. NCBI's taxonomy places the organism in Eukaryota, Metazoa, Arthropoda, Insecta, Diptera, Culicidae. The transcript is spliced from 3 exons. The record is from RefSeq and is a predicted model, not a curated record.